UUUCCCUUUUUGUAGCUAUGUAGGAUGCAAUCUGAAAACAUAUUAAGGCAAAUAGCAGAUAGUGAAGCCUUCGUUUUACAGCACAGCAGACACUUUACUGAAACUGGGUAUCUCUCUAAGUCAGCCAGAAUGCAAGGCAAAGUCAGAGCAACGGGUUAAGAGACUUCAGUAGGCAUUUAAAACCUAACUGCUCCUCACCAUAGUAAGAUGUCUUAAUUAACUAUUUAUUCACUCUUGCUAGUGGUUUUAAACACACAAAUAUAACAUAACAACAGCCUUCUUACACAGAAAAUGGGAAAAAACUCAUUUGAAGUCAGGUUGUUCUGAUGUCUGCUAGCCGGAGCCUGGCAAAGCAGGAUUUGGCAAGAAAUCCGUAGGCAACUGUACUUGGGAAAAAUUUUGCUACCACCAUCAUUCCUAAGAGUGGUGCUGCCAAGUAUCCUGCUACAAGACAUUUCCUGUUCAUAAAGUGAAUGUGGUAAUUUCUUCUGUGGUAGUCAGCCUGAAUUACUUAGCACUGGCAAGAGUGAAGCACGCGAUCGUUGCAUGAUCUGAAAAUUUGCACUGCUGUGGUUUGGGUGGCAAAAGGACAUCAGAGAGACCAGGAGAGGGAUCUGAGUCCAGAACUUUCUUUGUACCAUGUAGCCCUGACACCCCAAAUAAGAAUCAGGACCAAACAACUCCACAUCUGGACGGUCAUCAUCUUCAGUUUGAAAGAGACCAUAAAGAGAAUCUUUUCUACAGAAAUAUGUAGAAGUCAACUACUAAGCCUGCUACAUGGUAGAUGCUGAGAGGACAGUUUCCUACAGGACCCUACAAGAAGAUCCCUGAACAAACAAAUGCCUGCUCUUUUGCAGCCCAGGGUCUUGUUCACUCCUCUCAAGAUACUAAAGUCCAUGAGUCUCACUGUCACCUGCAGCAAAGCAGCACAUCCAGCAGAGCACCUACCCUCACCUACAGCCUACUGCAUCAUCAGUCACCCUGCAGCAAGGAACCGUCUUCAAUACAUUUCAGAAACCUCAUGAAUUGGUUGUGCCCAGUCAUAUUGCCCUUCCAACAGAUAUCUGGAUGGUUCUAGUCACAGAUGACAGGGUUUGUGACUGACAUUCCCUACAGCUUCUUAAAGAUGUUUUCGCCUGGCUCCUUUUUGUGACCAAAUGGCCAGCUGCAGAUACCCACUACAGCAUCACCUGCACUGUCUGUUCUCUCAUUCUUACCCACAAGCUUUCUACUGGCUAAUCACCUCUUUUGAGGCAAAACUCCACACAUACAGUCCCCUUACACUGAGCCCAACCUCUGCAUCACUGCUAUCCAUCAUGUCAUUCUUACAUCCUUCCAUUGCAUCACUCUAGUCAUAAGAGCUAUCCUAUCACAUCUCCACAAUCUCUACAAGGUCUGAGCUCUGCAGCUGUGCAUAUGCUGUCAGUCUGCUUGUUCCUCAUGCUACGUGCAUUUCUGUACAGAUCAUUGGGAUGGUUCCCAAUCUAUGCUUCUUUCACUGAGCAAAGAGUGAGAAUCUGCCCUGUCACGCUGUCUCUCAGAACUGAUCCACCACUUGCG
Molecule: long non-coding RNA, 1560 nt
Organism: Gallus gallus (chicken)
Lineage: Eukaryota; Metazoa; Chordata; Aves; Galliformes; Phasianidae
Source: Ensembl